GACGAACGCUGGCGGCGUGCUUAACACAUGCAAGUCGAACGGGCCCGCUCUCUUUUUUGGGGGUGGGUUGAGUGGCGAACGGGUGAGUAUCACGUGAGUAACCUGCCCCCUGCUCCUGGAUAACUGCUUGAAAGGGCGGCUAAUACGGGGUGUGCCGGCUGGUCCGCAUGGGCCUGGUCGGGAUAGUUUCAUCUUCGGGUGUUUCGGUGGGGGAUGGGCUCGCGGCCUAUCAGCUUGUUGGUGGGGUGAUGGCCCACCAAGGCGGUGACGGGUAGCCGGCAUGAGAGGGUGGGCGGCCACACUGGGACUGGGACACGGACCAGACUCCUGCGGGAGGCAGCAGUGGGGGGUAUUGAACAAUGGGCGGAAGCCUGAUGCAGCGACGUCGCGUGAGGGAUGGAGGCCUUCGGGUUGGGAACCUCUUUCUCCGGUGGUGAAGGCCCUGUCCGUUGCGGCGGGGUUGACGGUAGCCGGGUAUGAAGCGCCGGCUAACUACGUG
This 499-nucleotide ribosomal RNA is filed under the name uncultured bacterium. Its description in RNAcentral is "partial 16S ribosomal RNA". It matches the Rfam family "Bacterial small subunit ribosomal RNA", at positions 28 to 507 of the family's 1533-position model. The record is from RNAcentral.